UACCAUGAUGAUCAUUUUGUAUACAAUAUACGCUGGAAAUUACCGGCUGAGACCCUCGGGUCGUGGAAGAUAUCAAAUGGCUAUAUCUGAAA
Molecule: small nucleolar RNA, 92 nt
Filed under: Exophiala dermatitidis NIH/UT8656
Lineage: Eukaryota; Fungi; Ascomycota; Eurotiomycetes; Chaetothyriales; Herpotrichiellaceae
Description: A. fumigatus snoRNA Afu_300
Rfam family: A. fumigatus snoRNA Afu_300
Source: Rfam by way of RNAcentral